GUCGAGAGGAGAGUGGGAGAGACUGAGAGAGAGUAGGAGGAAUGAAAAUAAGAGUUUAUAUGCAAGUCAGCACCACAACUGGUGCCCAGCAUUUCAUCAGCGCACACUCUUGCGUUAUGUAAAGGGCGUCAGAGAAAAUCGUGGAACUGGAAACCACCAAGUCAAGAUUCUUUUGAAUCCAAAAAACUAUUUUUACAUCGCAACAACCCAAACAAAACUAUACACUCCUAAUUUUGCUCCAAAAAAAAAAAAAAACUUUUACAAUGUUCGCUGUUAACAUAUCAAAUCAUUUUAUACCUUUUACUAAUUGCACUUCUCUAAAAUCAAUAAUUAAGACAGAAAAAUGAACAAUACAACAUUUAAAUCAAAUGUGAUCCUGCUAAUAUUGGAGAAAACAAGUAACAUAUUAUAAUCUUAAGUGACUUUUAAAAAAUAUGUGUUGUUACAUUUUAAGUAAUAUGUAAGUAGCCAACAUGUUAGGCUAUUUCUUAAUUUUUUAAAUAGUAAAAUAGGCCUAAAAUUGUAAUAUUUUACUUUUUUACCCAAUACAGGAUACUGCAGACAUUUGCUGUACUCAUUAAAAAAGAAAACAUGAGUUCCUCUAUUUUAGAAAAAUGGGACUCUUUACCAAGCUGUAAUGAACAGUUACCAGAACCCAUUUUUAAGACCCCGUCACCCUUUUGGAAUCAGGAUAUAAUAUUCAAAAGACCAAGACAAGAGUACACACCUGAUGCUGUUAGAGAGGCAUACAACUUGUAUACUUACAGGUGUGAUUUAGGCUCUCGUGUAAGUCCGGACCUUCGUUUUGGAGCAGCUCAGACCCACUCUUCUCUAAGUCUAAACUCUUCCAACAGUAGAUAUCUUCCACCUUCGUCAGAAUUACUUGUGACUGAUCCAAAUAUGCUGCAUUUUGGAAGAGGACCUUCAUACUGGAGGUAUUUCACUCCAGAAGCAGGAUAUGGACUUGUCAAAGGCUUUAGAAAGCUGCGUAAUCCACAAACUGACACACUGCCGGCUUCAUAUUUCUAUAGAGGAGUUAACAGGGAUGUUUUAAGAAGAGAUUUUCCAAUGGAGGAAACCCAAACAGGCAUGCAAAAGCACAGACUGAGGUAUUCACACUGCUACCAAGAACCACAGAGCCAGAGAGUCAGCUCCAAAAGAGACUGUGAGAGAUAUUAUGUUAAAACUAACCCACUUUUAGGUUCUCUCUUACAUGCUGAUCCAAGUAAAGAACUUUUUAAAUACAACUCAGAGCACAGCCAGCACCACCUGCUUGGUUUCAGUAAUGAUGCUGGGGCUGAAAAGAAAACAAGCGAAGGGCUCCCCCUGCUGCUCUGGAGUGGAGAUGCACAAAAACGCAGCAGAAACGCACACGUUAAAUCCUCGUCUUCGGCGCUGUGGGUUCUCCGUCGCUUUGUUGAAGGGUCUUUGGUGGAGCUGGAGGGUGGUCGCCUGAAGCGGGUGGAGGAUUUGAGGACAGAGGAUUUGGAGCUGUGUGCUCAGUUACACCCCGAGCUGAUGCUGAAGCGUUUCACUGUGUUGAAGAUCAUACCGUCACACACACCUGCGCUCUCUAGUUUACGUGUGCAGAUUGAGCAUGACUACUCGCAGUUGUCUUUGGAGGUGAGUGAAGGAAUGCCCUUCUUCGUUUAUGGCCACGGCUGGUCCUCCUGUAACCCUCAGCACACAAGUCAAAAUUGCAAACUACAGUGCCGCCAGUUAGCGGUGGGUGACUUGUGCCUGGCACUGACACGUAUGCCCGCCUCUUCAUCAGAGCUGGCCAAUCGCAGCCGAAAUGAGGUGGGUGAAGAUCCCUUGAUCCUGAGCAGUCAUGCUGAAAACAAGCCCACGCUGCAGAUAAAAGAUCCAUCAAGAAAAAGACGCUUCACAGCUCCAGAGCUCAGGGAGAUUUCCAAGAUACACCACACUACUGAUUAAAAAAAUGAAAGACUGAAUGAUAUUUUCUAGAAUUUUUUUUUUUAAGAGAAUUGCAGUCAGUUUACUGUUAUUAUUGUCAUUAUUAUUGGCACUGUAGUCUGUACAUCAGGGGUCACCAAUCUCGGUCCUGGAGGGCCGGUGUCCCUGCAGGGUUUAGCUCCAACUUGCCUCAACACACCCGCCUGGAUGUUUCAAGCAUACCUAGUAAGACCUUGAUUAGCUUGUUCGGGUGUGUUUGAUUAGGGUUGGAGCUAAAAUCUGCAGGACACCGGCCCUCCAGGAACAAGUUUGGUGACCACUGCUGUACAUUGUAACUGAAUCCUUUCACAAAUUAGUGUUUGUACAUUUAACUGCACUGUUAAUAAAUCAGUUACUGUUUUAG
Long non-coding RNA from Danio rerio (zebrafish), 2320 nucleotides. Lineage: Eukaryota; Metazoa; Chordata; Actinopteri; Cypriniformes; Danionidae. The record is from Ensembl.